AGCAGCCGCGGUAAUUCCAGCUCCAAUAGCGUAUAUUAAAGUUGUUGCAGUUAAAAAGCUCGUAGUUGAAUUUCGGGGUUAGUAGGUUGGUCAUGCCUCUGGUAUGUACUGGUCUCACUGAUUCCUCCUUCCUGAUGAGCCGUAAUGCCAUUAAUUUGGUGUUGCGGGGAAUUUGGACUGUUACUUUGAAAAAAUUAGAGUGUUUAAAGCAAGCUAACGCUUGAAUACAUUAGCAUGGAAUAAUGAAAUAGGACGUUCGAUCCUAUUUUGUUGGUUUCUAGGAUUGACGUAAUGAUUAAUAGGGAUAGUUGGGGGCAUUAGUAUUCAAUUGUCAGAGGUGAAAUUCUUGGAUUUAUUGAAGACUAACUACUGCGAAAGCAUUUGCCAAGGAUGUUUUCAUUAAUCAAGAACGAAAGUUAGGGAUCGAAGACGAUCAGAUACCGUCGUAGUCUUAACCAUAAACUAUGCCGACUAGGGAUCGGAUGAUGUUAAUUUUUAUGUACUCAUUCGGCGCCUUAAC
This 520-nucleotide ribosomal RNA is filed under the name uncultured Glomus. RNAcentral describes it as "SSU rRNA". It matches the Rfam family "Eukaryotic small subunit ribosomal RNA", at positions 569 to 1092 of the family's 1831-position model. Lineage: Eukaryota; Fungi; Glomeromycota; Glomeromycetes; Glomerales; Glomeraceae. The record is from RNAcentral.